This 1727-nucleotide long non-coding RNA is filed under the name Mus musculus (house mouse). RNAcentral describes it as "long non-coding RNA chr16:32963734-32965461". Lineage: Eukaryota; Metazoa; Chordata; Mammalia; Rodentia; Muridae. The record is from RNAcentral.
AUUUUUCUAUUUUUUUUCAGAGGCAAACUGUUGUUUCAGACAUACUAGAAAUUUUAAUUUGUUACAUAUAUGUCUAUAUAGCUGACCCUUUGUUUCCAUGGAGUCAAUCAAGUAUGGAUGGAAAGUAUUCGGGGGGGGGGGGGGGAGAUGCACCUGUGCUAAAAUAAACAUUUACACUUUUUUCUCAUCAUUAUUUGCUAAACAAUGCAGCAUAGCAAGUCAUUCCAUGCCCUGCAUAUUAUAUUAGGCAAUAUGAAUGAUUUAGAGACGAUAAUGUACAUAGGCAGAGUCAUCAGUGUUGGUGACAUGUGUCUAUAUUUCAUCCCCUUUACCUCAUCAGAAGGCUUAAGCAGGAGGAUGUCUUGAACCCAGGAAUUUACACACAUAGAUAAUCUUUUCUCAAACAAACCCUGCUGGGUAGGGUAGUACGUUCUUGUAAUCCUAGCACAUGGGAAGAUUAUUCUCAGCAACACAGGGAGCUCAAGGCCAACCUAGGCUACAUAAGACCCUUUCUUAGCAGCAACAACAAAAAUACAUAGAUGAUGUCCAUAGACUUUGUAGAAAUGCUUUGAUAUCUUACAUGGCAUCAUUUCAGUCUCCCUGGAUUUGGGUAUCUGAAGAAUCCUGGAACUAGUCCCUUGUGAAUACUGAAGGGAGACUUUAUAUGUAAUAUUUCAUUUCACUUUUCAAGUACCAGGGAAUGACUUGUAUCUUCCUAUUUUUCUUUCAGAGGAACAGAUUAAUAAAAUUGUGUUAUAGUUAUUGACUAUUCAUUCAACGAGUAGGCAUGGAGUCAGAGACUCUUGGUUUUGAGUUUCUGUCUUCUUAGGGUACUAAGCUGUUUAAUCUCUCUGAGCUUCCAUUUUCAGUAUAAUCUUUGUAUCGCGUAUUACUCUAGCAUUAUAGUUCUAGAUAUCAAAUAUCCUAAAUCUGAAAGUUCCUUAAGUGACCAUAAAAAUCUAUGUUAAGUAUUAGGCAUGUUAAUCGGGCUAGGAUCGAUUGAGCUAGAUAGAAUCCAGGCCUCCUACAGAGUCCCUUAACUCUUGGAACAUGCAGGACAAACAACACAUGCUUAGAUUUCAGUUCUUAGAGUUAUACAUCUUUGAUCCUGUUUUCUUAUUUUGUUUAUUUGUUUGCUUUUUUUUUGAAGGUUUAUUUAUUUUAUGUAUGUGCAGUGUAGUUAUCUACAGACACACCAGAAGAGGGCAUCAGAUCCCAUAUACAGGUGGUUGUGAGCCACCGUGUGGUUGCUGAGAAUUAAACUUAGGACCUAUAGAAGAGUAGUCAGUGCUCUUAACUGCUGAUCCAUCUCUCCAGCCCCUGAUUUUGUUUUUUUGAGACAGCAUCUCACUAUAUAACCGUGGCUGGCCUGGAACUUGCUAUGUAGACCAAGCCAACCUUAAAUUCAAAUCUACCUGCAUUUGUCUCUUGAGUGCUGGAAUUAACAGUAUGCACCAUCUUGCCUAGCCAGAUUUAACCAUCUUAAUGUUUGUGUAUAAUUUUUUUAAAUGACCUACAAGUUUAGCAUAUAGUACUUACCUUAAUCCCUGCAUUUGGACACAGGCAGAAGGAUCCUGAGCCUGAUACCGAACAAGACCCUGUCUUUAACUACUAAAAGGCAUGGGGGUAGUGGCCAAAGUACAUGAUAUAAUUAAUUGUAUGAAAAUGUCUUUAUAAAGUGCAUCAAUAUGUGAAAUAGUAUGUGCCAAUAAAAAUUUAUGUUUAAU